This 231-nucleotide ribosomal RNA is filed under the name Oxyrrhis marina. Its description in RNAcentral is "partial Bacterial large subunit ribosomal RNA". It matches the Rfam family "Bacterial large subunit ribosomal RNA", at positions 660 to 889 of the family's 2925-position model. Lineage: Eukaryota; Dinophyceae; Oxyrrhinales; Oxyrrhinaceae. The record is from RNAcentral.
GGGAAGGCGUAGGGAAACCGAGUCUUAAUAGGGCGAUUUAGUUGCUGGGCUUAGACCCGAAACCAGGCGAUCUAUCCAUGGCCAGUGUGAAGGUUGAGUAACAUCAACUGGAGGCGCGAACCCACCUAUGUUGAAAAAUGGGGGGAUGAGCUGUGGAUCGGAGUGAAAGGCUAAUCAAACCGGGAGAUAGCUGGUUCUCCUCGAAAUCUAUUUAGGUAGAGCGUCAUGUCU